UAUUCCUCUCACAGGUCCGGCCAAUCAGAGCUCUGUUGCCAGGCAGAGCCUCUCUCUCUCCAGCUCUGGUCACCGUCAGCUUAGCUGUCCAGACACUCUUUUGCAAUUUUAGUUUGAAUUCAUUUUUUUUUUUAAGCACCUGAUAAGCACUUUUCUUCUUCUUCUUCUUCUUCUUCUUCUUCUUCUUCUUCUUCUUCUUCUUCUUCUUCUUCUUCUUCUUCUUCUUCUUCUUCUUCUCCUUCUAGUCCUCUAUUCAACCUCUCCCAAGGCCCUACUACAAAGACGCACAGGAAUGGAUAUCAGAAUCACUAACAAAGAAACCUCGGUCCAAGACAGAAAAUGAUCUUUACAAAGACCCUCGUUUCAUGCUUGUCAAUGCUGAGACAAUCUGCUCUGGAGGAUAUUUGCAGAAACUGAUUAAAAGGAGAAAGGAAGAAAGCAAGGCAAGCACAUUCCUGAGCGGGAGCUGCAAACGCCCGGGCUCAUGACUACUCCGGAGCACACUGGAAGCGGGGAAAUGGAGGAGGGAAGAUUGAGGGACCAAGAUGGCACGAUAAAAUGCUGUGGAUGGAAGGGCCAGUUCUCCUGGGAAUCUGAAGGCUGCUAGAGAAGGGAGAGAAACAUGCAAGUACAUCCCGUGCUGAGUGUUGUUGAAAUACUUGGAAAGAAGCUGGCAAAGACUAUCCGAGGGAUGCUAAGACAUCUCCGAACUUAUACAAUAGCAGGAUGUGAAUAGGAAUUUGAAGUUGUCUACACUCUACUCAGCUAUACCGUCAUUUUAAGGUGUAAAAAGUAAGAUUUUCAGCAAAUUGUAAUGGUUACAGAGUAUCUGGCU
This 835-nucleotide long non-coding RNA is filed under the name Aotus nancymaae (Ma's night monkey). RNAcentral describes it as "lncRNA (ENSANAG00000039150.1)". The record is from RNAcentral. Lineage: Eukaryota; Metazoa; Chordata; Mammalia; Primates; Aotidae.